UCUUUCUCAAGUGUUGAAAAUCCUGGCAUACUGAAGAGCAGGUUUCCAGACGUUAACAUUCCUGGGAACGAGACCUUGACUCAGUACGUCACACAACACUUUGAUGACUAUGGGAACGAUGUCGCAAUCAUAAACGGUGUUACCGGGGAGAGUUACACCUAUCUACAGCUGCAAGACUUGAUUAGACGCUUCGGCAGCGCCCUCACGCGGUUGGGAUUCCAACAGCAUGACGUGUUGGCUGUCUUCAGUCCGAACGUGCCAGAAUACGCCAUCGCGUUCUUCGGGGCUACAUCAGUGGGUGGUGUAGUUACGACUGCAAAUCCAACGUACACAGCAGAUGAGCUGGCACACCAGUUACGACAUUCCAAUGCAAAUUACGUCAUCACAGUACCGGAAGUGGCUGAAACUGUGAAAGCAGCAAAAUGCAAAUAUCCAAAC
Long non-coding RNA from Branchiostoma floridae (Florida lancelet), 438 nucleotides. RefSeq lists it as uncharacterized. The transcript has 3 exons. The record is from RefSeq and is a predicted model, not a curated record. Lineage: Eukaryota; Metazoa; Chordata; Leptocardii; Amphioxiformes; Branchiostomatidae.